AGAGCGAACGCUGGCGGCAGGCUUAACACAUGCAAGUCGAGCGCCCCGCAAGGGGAGCGGCAGACGGGAGAGUAACACGUGGGAACGUACCUUUCGGUUCGGAACAACCCAGGGAAACUUGGGCUAAUACCGGAUACGUCCGUAAGGAGAAAGAUUUAUCGCCGAAAGAUCGGCCCGCGUCUGAUUAGCUAGUUGGUGAGGUAACGGCUCACCAAGGCGACGAUCAGUAGCUGGUCUGAGAGGAUGAUCAGCCUCACUGGGACUGAGACACGGCCCAGACUCCUACGGGAGGCAGCAGUGGGGAAUAUUGGACAAUGGGCGCAAGCCUGAUCCAGCCAUGCCGCGUGGGUGAUGAAGGCCCUAGGGGUUGUAAAAGGCCCUUUUCGGGCGGGGAAGAUAAUGACGGUACCCGCAGAAGAAGCCCCGGCUAACUUCGUGCCAGCAGCCGC
This 449-nucleotide ribosomal RNA is filed under the name uncultured bacterium. RNAcentral describes it as "SSU rRNA". It matches the Rfam family "Bacterial small subunit ribosomal RNA", at positions 26 to 518 of the family's 1533-position model. The record is from RNAcentral.